This 446-nucleotide ribosomal RNA is filed under the name uncultured bacterium. RNAcentral describes it as "partial 16S ribosomal RNA". It matches the Rfam family "Bacterial small subunit ribosomal RNA", at positions 330 to 792 of the family's 1533-position model. The record is from RNAcentral.
GCCAGACUCCUACGGGAGGCAGCAGUGGGGGAUAUUGCACAAUGGGGGGAACCCUGAUGCAGCGACGCCGCGUGGGUGAAGGAGCGUUUCGGCGCGUAAAGCCCUAUCGGCAGGGAAGAAGGAGGACGGUACCUGACUAAGAAGCCCCGGCUAACUACGUGCCAGCAGCCGCGGUAAUACGUAGGGGGCAAGCGUUAUCCGGAUUUACUGGGUGUAAAGGGGGCGCAGACGGCAGCGCAAGCCAGGAGUGAAAGCCCCGGGCCCAACCCCGGGACUGCUCUUGGAACUGCGCGGCUGGAGUGCAGGAGGGGCAGGCGGAAUUCCUGGUGUAGCGGUGAAAUGCGUAGAUAUCAGGAGGAACACCGGUGGCGAAGGCGGCCUGCUGGACUGCGACUGACGUUGAGGCCCGAAAGCGUGGGGAGCAAACAGGAUUAGAUACCCCAGUA